GCGGAAGGAUCAUUACUAGAGCAAAGGAUAGACAGCGCCCGCGGAGCUCGCUCCCGGGGCUACCCUACUCCCGUAGGGUUUAGAGUCGUCGGGCCUCUCGGAGAAGCUCGGUCCUGAACUCCACCCUUGAAUAAACUACCUUUGUUGCUUUGGCGGGCCGCCUCGUGCCAGCGGCUUCGGCUGUUGAGUGCCCGCCAGAGGACCCCAACUCUUGUUUUUAGUGAUGUCUGAGUACUAUAUAAUAGUUAAAACUUUCAACAACGGAUCUCUUGGUUCUGGCAUCGAUGAAGAACGCAGCGAAAUGCGAUAAGUAAUGUGAAUUGCAGAAUUCAGUGAAUCAUCGAAUCUUUGAACGCACAUUGCGCCCUCUGGUAUUCCGGGGGGCAUGCCUGUUCGAGCGUCAUUAUAACCACUCAAGCUCUCGCUUGGUAUUGGGGUUCGCGGUUUCGCGGCCCCUAAAAUCAGUGGCGGUGCCUGUCGGCUCUACGCGUAGUAAUACUCCUCGCGAUUGAGUCCGGUAGGUCUACUUGCCAGCAACCCCUAAUUUUUUUUCAAGGUUGACCU
This 564-nucleotide ribosomal RNA is filed under the name fungal sp. Sen008. Its description in RNAcentral is "eukaryotic LSU rRNA". The stretch from base 250 to 403 matches the Rfam family "5.8S ribosomal RNA". Lineage: Eukaryota; Fungi. The record is from RNAcentral.